This 424-nucleotide ribosomal RNA is filed under the name uncultured Staphylococcus sp. RNAcentral describes it as "bacterial SSU rRNA". It matches the Rfam family "Bacterial small subunit ribosomal RNA", at positions 358 to 774 of the family's 1533-position model. The record is from RNAcentral. Lineage: Bacteria; Bacillati; Bacillota; Bacilli; Caryophanales; Staphylococcaceae.
GGAAUCUUCCGCAAUGGGCGAAAGCCUGACGGAGCAACGCCGCGUGAGUGAUGAAGGUCUUCGGAUCGUAAAACUCUGUUAUCAGGGAAGAACAAAUGUGUAAGUAACUGUGCACAUCUUGACGGUACCUGAUCAGAAAGCCACGGCUAACUACGUGCCAGCAGCCGCGGUAAUACGUAGGUGGCAAGCGUUAUCCGGAAUUAUUGGGCGUAAAGCGCGCGUAGGCGGUUUUUUAAGUCUGAUGUGAAAGCCCACGGCUCAACCGUGGAGGGUCAUUGGAAACUGGAAAACUUGAGUGCAGAAGAGGAAAGUGGAAUUCCAUGUGUAGCGGUGAAAUGCGCAGAGAUAUGGAGGAACACCAGUGGCGAAGGCGACUUUCUGGUCUGUAACUGACGCUGAUGUGCGAAAGCGUGGGGAUCAAACA